GACGAACGCUGGCGGCGUGCUUAACACAUGCAAGUCGAACGGAAAGGCCCUGCUUUUGUGGGGUGCUCGAGUGGCGAACGGGUGAGUCACACGUGAGUAACCUGCCCUUGAUUUUGGGAAAACUUCAGGAAACUGGGGCUAAUACCGGAUAGGAGCUCCUGCUGCAUGGUGGGGGUUGGAAAGUUUCGGCGGAUGGGGAUGGACUCGCGGCUUAUCAGGUUGUUGGUGGGGUGGUGGUUUACCAAGGCUUUGACGGAUAGCCGGCCUGGGAGGGUGACCGGCCACAGUGGGACUGAGACACGGCCCAGACGCCGAGGGGAGGCAGCAGUGGGGAAUGUAGGACUGUGGGCGGAAGCCUGAUGCAGCAACGCCGCGUGCGGGAUGGCGGCCUUCGGUUUGUAAACCGCUUUCGCCUUUGACGAAGCGGGAGUGACGGUAAUGGGUAAAGAAGCACCGGCUAACUACGUG
This 468-nucleotide ribosomal RNA is filed under the name uncultured bacterium. RNAcentral describes it as "partial 16S ribosomal RNA". It matches the Rfam family "Bacterial small subunit ribosomal RNA", at positions 28 to 507 of the family's 1533-position model. The record is from RNAcentral.